Molecule: ribosomal RNA, 449 nt
Filed under: uncultured bacterium
Lineage: Bacteria
Description: partial 16S ribosomal RNA
Rfam family: Bacterial small subunit ribosomal RNA
Source: RNAcentral
GACCAGACUCCUACGGGAGGCAGCAGUGGGGGAUAUUGCACAAUGGGGGGAACCCUGAUGCAGCGACGCCGCGUGGGUGAAGAAGCGCCUCGGCGCGUAAAGCCCUGUCAGCAGGGAAGAAAAUGACGGUACCUGAGUAAGAAGCCCCGGCUAACUACGUGCCAGCAGCCGCGGUAAUACGUAGGGGGCAAGCGUUAUCCGGAUUUACUGGGUGUAAAGGGAGCGUAGACGGCAGUGCAAGUCUGGAGUGAAAGGCGGGGGCUCAACCCCCGGACUGCUCUGGAAACUGUACGGCUGGAGUGCAGGAGAGGUAAGUGGAAUUCCUAGUGUAGCGGUGAAAUGCGUAGAUAUCAGGAGGAACACCGGCGGCGAAGGCGGCCUGCUGGACCGCGACUGACGUUGAGGCUCGAAAGCGUGGGGAGCGAACAGGAUUAGAUACCCCGGUAGAU